AGAGUUUGAUCCUGGCUCAGGAUGAACGCUGGCGGCGUGCCUAAUACAUGCAAGUCGAGCGAACAGAUGAGAAGCUUGCUUCUCUGAUGUUAGCGGCGGACGGGUGAGUAACACGUGGGUAACCUACCUAUAAGACUGGGAUAACUCCGGGAAACCGGGGCUAAUACCGGAUAAUAUUUUGAACCGCAUGGUUCAAUAGUGAAAGACGGUUUCGGCUGUCACUUAUAGAUGGACCCGCGCCGUAUUAGCUAGUUGGUAAGGUAACGGCUUACCAAGGCGACGAUACGUAGCCGACCUGAGAGGGUGAUCGGCCACACUGGAACUGAGACACGGUCCAGACUCCUACGGGAGGCAGCAGUAGGGAAUCUUCCGCAAUGGGCGAAAGCCUGACGGAGCAACGCCGCGUGAGUGAUGAAGGCCUUCGGAUCGUAAAACUCUGUUGUUAGGGAAGAACAAAUUUGUUAAUAACUGAACAAGUCUUGACGGUACCUAACCAGAAAGCCACGGCUAACUACGUGCCAGCAGCCGCGGUAAUACGUAUGUGGCAAGCGUUAUCCGG
RNAcentral lists this ribosomal RNA (559 nucleotides) under uncultured bacterium. Its description in RNAcentral is "bacterial SSU rRNA". It matches the Rfam family "Bacterial small subunit ribosomal RNA", at positions 8 to 548 of the family's 1533-position model. The record is from RNAcentral.